AGUGUGUUGGCAGAAUAGUGCAACUGAUUUAGGAUCGGUUCAAGGAGUAACAUACCACACACCC
This 64-nucleotide transfer RNA is filed under the name Amynthas redactus. RNAcentral describes it as "Amynthas sp. 1 LZ-2016 tRNA-Leu". The record is from RNAcentral. Lineage: Eukaryota; Metazoa; Annelida; Clitellata; Crassiclitellata; Megascolecidae.